GGGCCUGUAGUCUAAUGGCAGGACGCCGCCCUCACAUGGCGGUAAUUCCGGUUCGAGUCCGGGCGGGCCCA
This 71-nucleotide transfer RNA is filed under the name Candidatus Micrarchaeota archaeon RBG_16_49_10. RNAcentral's name for it is "tRNA-Val". It matches the Rfam family "tRNA". Rfam says of the family: Transfer RNA (tRNA) molecules are approximately 80 nucleotides in length. Lineage: Archaea; Nanobdellati; Microcaldota. The record is from RNAcentral.